CAGCAGCCACGGUAAUACGGAGGGGGCUAGCGUUGUUCGGAAUUACUGGGCGUAAAGCGCACGUAGGCGGCUUUGUAAGUUAGAGGUGAAAGCCCGGAGCUCAACUCCAGAAUUGCCUUUAAGACUGCCGAGCUAGCAGGUGAGAGAGGUAAGUGGAAUUCCGAGUGUAGAGGUGAAAUUCGUAGAUAUUCGGAAGAACACCAGUGGCGAAGGCGGCUUACUGGCUCAUACUGGACGCUGAGGUGCGAAAGCGUGGGGAGCAAACAGGAUUAGAUACCCGAGUAGUCCCUGUCUCUUAUAC
Molecule: ribosomal RNA, 301 nt
Filed under: uncultured bacterium
Lineage: Bacteria
Description: partial 16S ribosomal RNA
Rfam family: Bacterial small subunit ribosomal RNA
Source: RNAcentral